Long non-coding RNA from Rosa chinensis, 497 nucleotides. RefSeq lists it as uncharacterized. The record is from RefSeq and is a predicted model, not a curated record. The transcript is spliced from 3 exons. Lineage: Eukaryota; Viridiplantae; Streptophyta; Magnoliopsida; Rosales; Rosaceae.
GGAUGUGAUUGGGAAGAAGAUCUAGUUUGUUGAUUGCAAAUUACAGUAGCUUUAGGAGCUACCUGGUUGGGUUGUGGAUCUUGGUUUUUGAUUGUGUAUGCUUUGCAGCUCCUCGAACUGGAACCUACCAAGGUAAUUGGGCAAUGGCAUGUAGGCCUAUUUCUCCUACCGAGUAAUCACCAAGGUUUGUAAAACAAAAGCAUCUUAUUGAUGUCACUGAAGUAUUCAGGGUUCUUAAUACUGAGAAGAAGUGUUGGCUUGUUAAGCUUGCUGUCUACUUUUGUCUCCUCACUAUAAUCAUUAUCAGGCUAUGCGAAGGGGCAAUACUCCGGCACUAGCAACUUUUGACAUUUCUGAUAUCCCUCCCGACCUGGUAAAUCCAAGUGCAGUUGAAUUAGCUUUGGACAUCAGAAAAGAAUAUGCCAAAAACUUGAGCAGGUAAAAUUUCCAUUUCCGUAACCAUGCUUGGUAUGAGGUUGUGCCAAAGUUUGACCAUG